This 87-nucleotide transfer RNA is filed under the name Borrelia miyamotoi. RNAcentral's name for it is "tRNA-Ser". It matches the Rfam family "tRNA". From Rfam's summary of the family: Transfer RNA (tRNA) molecules are approximately 80 nucleotides in length. The record is from RNAcentral. Lineage: Bacteria; Pseudomonadati; Spirochaetota; Spirochaetia; Spirochaetales; Borreliaceae.
GGAGAGAUGGCCGAGUGGCUGAAGGCGCACGCUUGGAAAGCGCGUAUACAUAAAAAUGUAUCAUGGGUUCGAAUCCCAUUUUCUCCG